Molecule: long non-coding RNA, 3318 nt
Organism: Gopherus evgoodei (Goodes thornscrub tortoise)
Lineage: Eukaryota; Metazoa; Chordata; Testudines; Testudinidae
Exons: 3
Source: RefSeq, a predicted model, not a curated record
UGACAAAGUGGAGUGACUUUUACUAGCUGAGGAAUCUGCCCUGAAAUUAUGUGGUGAAUCCUAAGAAAUGAAAUAUAUAGGUUAGCUUUAGACUUUGGCAUUAGACACUGACAAGAAUAUUUGGGUCAAGAUUCCUAAAGUCAUGUCCUUAAGCAAUAAUGCUUAUAAAAUACGUGACUGUGUUGUAAUAACAUACAGCUGAGUGCUUCCAUCACCCAAGAAGUGUUAUGUUAAGACUAAUAUACAUCCUGUAAUAACCGUUUCUUUAUAAAAUGCAUUGUUCAUUUUUAUAUUUAGUUAUGCUGUAGCACUCAUUUCCUUCCUGCAUUUAAAAAAUGUGUUUCUUGCUCUUUUAUGACACUGUCUCAAGUGCCUCACCCUACACAACAUACUUCUUUAAAUUUAAGAUGAUCUGCACUUGACUUCUGUUUUUGCUGGAGGUGGACAGUGACAUCACAAUAGUCUGAACACUGAGCUGCAGCUUUCUGAGCCAUGAACUAAGCGGGGUGUUGACUUAGAUAAUUUGUGUUGUGAUUAUUCUAAUGGUCACAUAGUGAUAGCUGCUUACACUGCCUGAGACUUGGAAAGAUGUAGGUCAGGUUUCUGAUAUUGUCAUUAUUCUUCUCCAGCAAAAUUGGAAGUUCAAGCCUGGAUAAUCCUAAAGUGGCCAAACAUAAGAUGGGCUCAGUUUUUAAAAAUGUCCUACAUCACAAAGAUGCCAUGAAGAGAACACACAUUUUGUGUGUAGUUCAACUGUAAAACUUAGCUGUGUGAUUUCCACCUCUGGGUACGUUUACACAGCAAAAAAACUCUCCUGAUAGUGAAUCUUAGUGCAAGCCUGAGUCAGCUGGCCCAGGCUCUAUGGGGCUAAAACUCGUGGUGCAGACGUUUGGGCUCAGGCUGGAACCUAGGCUCUUGAGUCCUGGCAAGGAGGAAGGGUCUCAGAGUCCAGGCUCCAGCCCAAGCAUAUACACUGCUAUUUUUAGCUCUGUAGCACAAGCCCCAUGAUUUCAAGUCAGUUGACGUGGGCUCUGAGCCUUGCUGCAGUGUUUUGUUUUUGUUCAUUUUCCUGCAUAGAUGUACCCUUAGUCUCAAGACAACCAAGCUGAUGGCCAUGAUGUGACAAGAUGUGCAGUAGCCAUUUGGAUGAUUUGAUUUCCUCCAAUCUAUUAUGAUGGUACUUGGGAAUGAGGGGGCUCCAGUCUGAGAUUAUCUCAGAAGAAAUACCUGAAUUGUGGAGCCAUGUACAUCUAUUAAGACAGAGAGUUGAAGACAAAGAACCUGUCAGUCUAGGUUCAAAAUCCUAAAGUACCCAUACAGAGGAAAAACUUGGUAAGAUUUACCCUCUGGAACUGCCAAAGAAGAUAUGUGAGAUUCCAAAGAUGUUCUUGUGCCUGAACUGGAGUCACUUUAAAGCUCUAGUUGCUCAUGAUUUUAGCUUGGUGUCACAAGAGCUGGAGAUCUGAGGGCUCCUGCAUACAGCCCUAUAUAUGACCUGCUUCUACAAUAUUAGAGAGAAAAUUUCAAAGCAGGAAAGACAGACCAGUGAUUUCAAAAAUACCAAACACCUCCUACCCACAUCCUCAGAAAUGUAUUUUAGAUCCAUGGUUACACAGAUUUUUCUGCUUCCACUAUUUCUCUUCCACUCUCUAUCAGGUGGUGAUUUCAGAAAGUCAAACCCUAUAGAUAUUUUUCCAAAGAGGACCUCAGUUGCCUAACAGCACAUAUUCAGAUUUGUACAACUUCCUUCUGAUUUAAUCUUUAAGAAGCAAGGAGCUUUGCCCAGGAGACAGAAAAAGAUAUUCCUAUCUACUCAAGUGCAGAGACCCAUUGUUUACUGAAUGUACUUCUCCCACAUGCUCUGAUUCCAAAUUCCCAUAGAAAGAGAAACAACAAAAGCUGCUGUCAAGGGAUAAAACAAGAAUGCUGCUUGGCUGGUGGGGGUAUUAUCAAGGAGAUGUGGUCUGGAAAUGGUAGUUUCAUAAAUGCACAUAAUCCAAGAAGGCAACUACUACUUGGAUAACCAGAUUCAGCAAUUGUUGCCACAGACACCACUAGGGGAAGGAUUGGCACUAAGGUACCUAGAAAGACCAGGAACCGAAGAAACAAACUGAUCACUUGUGACACAGAGCUAGGAGGCAUUCAGCCUGGCUAGAAUUAUCAAAUAGUUAUCAGAUAACCAGUAAGUCAACUAUGGAGGAACUCUCUUUCUGGAGGAAUGGAACAGGAAGCUAUAAGGGACAUAGCUGAUGGGCAUCCUUGCAGUUUGGUAGCUGUUUGCCUUGUGACAGGUUAUUCAAUCAUCCUGAAAAUGCAAACAAACAAUUGUCAGUAGUGAUUCCAUAUUAAGAAGAGCGGAAAGAGAACUCAGCAAGGGACAGAAGGAUAACAGGAUGGUGUGUUGUCUCCCUGGAGCAAAUAUUUGACAUGUAAUUACAUGAUUGGACAGGAUUAUGAAGUAAAUUGGCAAGUCUCCACUGCUGAUGAAACAUUAGAACCAAUGACUUCGCAUCACAUGGAACUAUACAGAUUACAAGAGACUUAGAUUUUGAAAAGAAGCUGAAGAAGAUAAGACCAAAUGUUAUUCUCAUAGAUCCUUCUGGUCCCAUGAAUAGAAGGCUGAAGGAGAUGAAUUGCUGGCUGCACUACUAGUGGAUAUUUUGAGGAGCAGUAGGCCACAUUCCAGUGCGAGAAGGAGCACUACGAAUGAGAUGGCCUGCAUCUCUCAGGCUGGGAGUAAUGGGGGCUAAAUUUCUCAGCUGGAGACUAGCAGAAGCAGCCUGGAAAGCAUUAACCUAACAAAGAAAGGUGAGAGUGGAGGAGGCAAAUGUGGUAAGAACUCAAAUUCAACAUGUUCCAAACACACUGAACAGAUGUGGGAAAGCAUGUGAAGAGAAGAAAUUGUUUAACCAUGCUAGAACUACAAGUAGCAAGCAAGAGGAACUGAACAUUCUCAAUGAAUAGAAAAUUGAUAUUGACCUUAAUGAAACGGGUAGGACAAGUCAUAGGUCUGCAAUGUCAAAUAUCAUUGGUUAUAACUUGCUUAGGAAGGACAGUGACACCAUUACCUGUUUCAGAGUUAUGAUAAAUGCAAAACUAUAGGAUCUUGACUGCAUAUAGAUCACUGUGCUAACUACUGGGGAGACCUGUUAUAGACCACCAAAUCGAAACAGGCUGUUCUUAAACUGCCCUCUAAGUUACUCCUUUUGUACCUGUUUAAUGUAUGGGGGAAAAAAUGGUUGUUAUGGAGGACUUCAAUUUGAGAUUCAUGAAACAGAGGUUUUAUGCAGCUGGUAGUAAAACAUUGGAAUUUAUAAA